GCGGACAAGUUGGCGCGCGAUUAUUUUUCUUAAAACUUCAAAAUGUCAGGAAAAUCACGGGCAACGGGUAACUCUUCUCGUGACUAUGGUUAUCAGAGAAAGCAAAGAAAGAGGGCAAAGAAUAAAGCGCACAAGAGGAAGAGCAUCCAAAAAAAAGGUCAAACUUUGAAAGUGCUGGAACAAGUUGUGUACCUCCUUCGAGGACAAAGAAAAGGUCUUCUGUCUCUUUCUAAUUUGUUUUGCUUUUUUCAUUCAUUACUGCACUACUGACAUUCUCCCUGCAUCUUUAUUUCAGUUUACCUCGAGCAUUGCACCAUUCAGUAGAUAAGGAACAUCGCGAAAGAAAAGGACAGAGAGAGUUGAUGACGAUCUUGAAGAUGCUUCAAGGAACUGAACUUUUAUCUCUUUGAACUGUUCCCUGCUGUUUACGCAAUCAAGCAUUAGAUGUCAGAAGAACAACAAUAUUAACAGUAGAAAGACUGUGUAGUUUUUUUAAGUUCCUGCAAGUAUUUUAAGUUUUUUCUAGGUUUCCCUAUGUUUCUUACUUAGCUAAGCGAAAGUUUCUUUUUUAACAUUUACACUCUUGUACUAGGAUAGGAAUAAAUGUAACACUUUUUUCUUUGUGCAGGAAAA
This is a non-coding RNA of Pocillopora verrucosa, 633 nucleotides long. The record is from RefSeq and is a predicted model, not a curated record. Lineage: Eukaryota; Metazoa; Cnidaria; Anthozoa; Scleractinia; Pocilloporidae.